GACGAACGCUGGCGGCGUGCUUAACACAUGCAAGUCGAGCGGUAAGGCCCUUUCGGGGGUACACGAGCGGCGAACGGGUGAGUAACACGUGGGUGACCUGCCCUCAGCUCUGGGAUAAGCCUGGGAAACUGGGUCUAAUACCGGAUAUGACUCCAUGACGCAUGUUGUGGGGUGGAAAGCCUUGUGCGGCUGAGGAUGGGCCCGCGGCCUAUCAGCUUGUUGGUGGGGUGAUGGCCUACCAAGGCGACGACGGGUAGCCGGCCUGAGAGGGCGACCGGCCACACUGGGACUGAGACACGGCCCAGACUCCUACGGGAGGCAGCAGUGGGGAAUCUUGCGCAAUGGGCGAAAGCCUGACGCAGCGACGCCGCGUGAGGGAUGACGGCCUCGGUGUAAC
This 397-nucleotide ribosomal RNA is filed under the name uncultured bacterium. RNAcentral's name for it is "bacterial SSU rRNA". It matches the Rfam family "Bacterial small subunit ribosomal RNA", at positions 28 to 429 of the family's 1533-position model. The record is from RNAcentral.